RNAcentral lists this ribosomal RNA (460 nucleotides) under uncultured bacterium. RNAcentral's name for it is "partial 16S ribosomal RNA". It matches the Rfam family "Bacterial small subunit ribosomal RNA", at positions 338 to 795 of the family's 1533-position model. The record is from RNAcentral.
CCUACGUGAUGCAGCAGUGAGGAAUAUUGGUCAAUGGACGAGAGUCUGAACCAGCCAAGUAGCGUGAAGGAUGACUGCCCUAUGGGUUGUAAACUUCUUUUAUAUGGGAAUAAAAUGUUCCACGUGUGGGAUUUUGUAUGUACCAUAUGAAUAAGGAUCGGCUAACUCCGUGCCAGCAGCCGCGGUAAUACGGAGGAGCCGAGCGUUAUCCGGAUGUAUUGGGUUUAAAGGGAGCGUAGGUGGAUUGUUAAGUCAGUUGUGAAAGUUUGCGGCUCAACCGUAAAAUUGCAGUUGAAACUGGCAGUCUUGAGUACAGUAGAGGUGGGCGGAAUUCGUGGUGUAGCGGUGAAAUGCUUAGAUAUCACGAAGAACUCCGAUUGCGAAGGCAGCUCACUGGACUGCAACUGACACUGAGGCUCGAAAGUGUGGGUAUCAAACAGGAUUAGAUACCCUUGUAGUC